GAGUUUGAUCUUGGCUCAGAACGAACGCUGGCGGCGUGGAUAAGACAUGCAAGUCGAACGCUUAUCUUCGGGUAGCAAUAUUCGAAGGUAGGAGUGGCGCAAGGGUGCGUAACACGUGGAUCAUCUGCCUGGAAGUUCGGAAUAAUUCCUCGAAAGAGGGACUAAUGCCGGAUGUGGUUGGAAGACUAAAGUUGGGGACCGCAAGGCCUGACGCUUCCAGAUGAGUCCGCGGCCUAUCAGCUAGUUGGCGGGGUAAUGGCCCACCAAGGCUAAGACGGGUAGCUGGUCUGAGAGGACGACCAGCCUCACUGGAACUGAGACACGGUCCAGACACCUACGGGUGGCAGCAGUCGAGUAAUUUUUCUCAAGUGGGGGAAACCCUGAAGGAGCGACGCCGCGUGAGGGAUGGAAGGGCUUCGGCCCGUAAACCUCUGUCAUUUGCGGACAAACGUCAUGGUUGAACAUUCCAUGGCUUGAUUGUAGCGAAAGAGGGAAGGGACGGCUAACUCUGUGCCAGCAGCCGAC
RNAcentral lists this ribosomal RNA (525 nucleotides) under uncultured bacterium. RNAcentral describes it as "bacterial SSU rRNA". It matches the Rfam family "Bacterial small subunit ribosomal RNA", at positions 9 to 518 of the family's 1533-position model. The record is from RNAcentral. RNAcentral also lists the same sequence under 1 other name.